UACGAAGGGGGCAAGCGUUGUUCGGAAUUACUGGGCGUAAAGCGUGCGUAGACGGUUAUGUAAGUCAGAUGUGAAAGCCCCGGGCUCAACCUGGGAACUUGCAUUUGUGACUGCAUCGCUGGAGUGCGGCAGAGGGGGAUGGAAUUCCGGCGUGUAGCAGUGAAAUGCGUAGAUAAUGCGGAGGAACACCGAUGGCGAAGGCAGCCCCCUGGGUCAAAACUGACGCUCAUGACACGAAAGCGUGGGGAGCAAACAGG
RNAcentral lists this ribosomal RNA (257 nucleotides) under uncultured bacterium. Its description in RNAcentral is "partial 16S ribosomal RNA". It matches the Rfam family "Bacterial small subunit ribosomal RNA", at positions 524 to 776 of the family's 1533-position model. The record is from RNAcentral.